This 444-nucleotide ribosomal RNA is filed under the name uncultured bacterium. RNAcentral describes it as "bacterial SSU rRNA". It matches the Rfam family "Bacterial small subunit ribosomal RNA", at positions 346 to 787 of the family's 1533-position model. The record is from RNAcentral.
CGGCAGCAGUGAGGAAUAUUGGACAAUGGAUGGAAAUCUGAUCCAGCCAUGCCGCGUGCAGGAAGACGGUCCUAUGGAUUGUAAACUGCUUUUAUAUGGGAGCAAUAAGGUCUUUGCGAAGACUGAUGAGAGUACCAUAUGAAUAAGCAUCGGCUAACUCCGUGCCAGCAGCCGCGGUAAUACGGAGGAUGCGAGCGUUAUCCGGAUUUAUUGGGCGUAAAGGGCAUGUAGGCGGAUUUGCAAGCUUGAUGUGAAAUCCCGCAGCUUAACUGCGGAACUGCAUUGAGAACUGCAAGACUAGAGUUACUGAGGGGAAACUAGAAUUCCAAGUGUAGGGGUUAAAUCUGUAGAUAUUUGGAAGAAUACCAAUGGCGAAGGCAAGUUUCUGGCAGAUAACUGACGCUGAGGUGCGAAGGUGCGGGGAGCAAACAGGAUUAGAUACCC